AUACGGAGGGUGCAAGCGUUAUUCGGAAUCACUGGGCGUAAAGGGUGCGUAGGCGGGUUGGCAAGUCAGAUGUGAAAUCCUACAGCUUAACUGUAGAACUGCAUUUGAAACUGCUAACCUAGAGUAUGGGAGGGGGAGAUGGAAUUAGUGGUGUAGGGGUAAAAUCCGUAGAUAUCACUAGGAAUACCGAAAGCGAAGGCGAUCUCCUGGAACAUAACUGACGCUAAGGCGUGAAAGCGUGGGGAGCAAACAGGAUUAGAAACCCUAGUAGUCC
RNAcentral lists this ribosomal RNA (274 nucleotides) under uncultured bacterium. RNAcentral describes it as "partial 16S ribosomal RNA". It matches the Rfam family "Bacterial small subunit ribosomal RNA", at positions 523 to 796 of the family's 1533-position model. The record is from RNAcentral.